UCACUACGCUAUCUAACAAAGGCACAGUUGAUAGGGUUUAGCUUGCGGUGUCGGCAUCACCUACCCAAGGACCUAUCUCUUUGUUAAUGCUGGAUCGUGUCUUUCCAUUAGGCCAAUCAACUAAGUUGAUAUCCAUCAACGAAGGGUGGUUCGAUAGUAGACUCAUUAUCUCACGUCCUCAUGUACACUAGUGUAAUACUUGUAGAGAUCUCUAUAUGGAUUGGAUUUGACAUUGAGGCGUCCCCCAACGAUAAUCACAAUUCAGACUUCAUGAGACAGAUUUGAGUAUCACUGAUCAAUGGAUCAGGUUGUGCCAAGCUCGCUUUCUUUCUAGUGCAAGACAAUAUCGAACCUAAGGGCCUCCCUCCUUUUAGGGAGCCACAAGGCCUUGUGACACCAAUUUUGCCACUAUAUGGUGUCACCAUAUCACCAUCCAUGGUGAUGGCGUCAAGACCAACACUUUUUGGUCGCGCCAUGUCCUUUUGUAGGACAUUAAUCCUUGCAGACAUAUUUGCAGCAUGUGAUCUCGUCACUUUAACACUAUAAGCAUUUGGGAUCAAGAUGAGACUUAGUGGGGACAAACUACGACAAUUCACGUCGUUCCACUUGAACACUUGUGUUCUUAUCUCCCCCUAACGGCGGGAAUAUUGUCUCAUCAAAGUGACAAUCCGUAAUUUAGCGGUGAAUGAGAUUGCCUGACAAGGUUCCUACAUAUGCGGAUUAUAGGUGGAGGUUCAUAUCUAACCUAAACUUAUUCAUCUCAAAUGACCCAUCAUUGUACGCAGUGGCAAUGCGAUUUGGCACCUAGAAAUAACAUCUAGCCGAGCUUAAGGAUUGGAGAUCCGUUUCAAUCCUGCCGAGCUCAAGGAUUGCAAUUUCGUGUCAAUCCUGGUACACAGUCACGAGCUGUAGUACAACAAAAUUCAAUGAUGGUGGGUCGUAGAUGAAUAGUAAAGCUGCAUGCAAAUAUUGCAUAGCCCCAAGACGCAAUAGAAAGAGUGGUGCGCAUCAAUAAUGUUCGAGCGACAAGCUAAAGUUGCUUGGUCGUAGCCUCGGUGAGACCGUAUUGCGUGUGAACAUGGGGUACAGGACACUUCAACUUACAUCCUGAUGAACUUCUUUAAAGAAUGGGUAGUGAGCCCGUAGAAGUAUAAGCAGUAUAAGCAGUAGAUAAUAGUGUAAACGUGACCAGUGUGUUAACACGUCAACCAACACCAUAAAGCAUAAAAAGGUGUCUGUAAGUUGGUUGUAUCUAUCUACAUAGUUUGAUGUAAGAAUAGAAUGUUCACUUUUGUGUUAUUUAGCGUAGGAGGGUCUCACUCCUUAUUUAGCUAAAGAAUAGGUUUUCAAAAAGAGCAAUGAGCAUUGCAGGGGGCCAAUGCGACAUCGAGGAAAGGCCGGUGCACCUUAAUUGCUUGAGGAAUUGACCGGACGACCUCCAGGAAGUUGGAGUCGUGUUCGGGUGACGUCAAUGUCCCCCGGGU
Molecule: long non-coding RNA, 1484 nt
Filed under: Fragaria vesca (wild strawberry)
Lineage: Eukaryota; Viridiplantae; Streptophyta; Magnoliopsida; Rosales; Rosaceae
Description: long non-coding RNA (FVES_LNC004890)
Source: RNAcentral